Molecule: ribosomal RNA, 454 nt
Filed under: uncultured Prevotella sp.
Lineage: Bacteria; Pseudomonadati; Bacteroidota; Bacteroidia; Bacteroidales; Prevotellaceae
Description: partial 16S ribosomal RNA
Rfam family: Bacterial small subunit ribosomal RNA
Source: RNAcentral
ACGGGAGGCAGCAGUGAGGAAUAUUGGUCAAUGGACGGAAGUCUGAACCAGCCAAGUCGCGUGCGGGAUGAAGGCCCUACGGGUCGUAAACCGCUUUUGUACGGGGAUAAAGUCACCCACGUGUGGGUGUUUGUAGGUACCGUAAGAAUAAGGAUCGGCUAACUCCGUGCCAGCAGCCGCGGUAAUACGGAGGAUCCGAGCGUUAUCCGGAUUUAUUGGGUUUAAAGGGAGCGUAGGCGGGAAGUCAAGUCAGCUGUGAAAUGUAGUCGCUCAACGUCUGCACUGCAGUUGAAACUGGUUUUCUUGAGUGCGUAAGAGGCAGGUGGAAUUUGUCGUGUAGCGGUGAAAUGCUUAGAUAUGACGAAGAACUCCGAUUGCGAAGGCAGCCUGCUGGGCCGCAACUGACGCUGAAGCUCGAAGGUGCGGGUAUCAAACAGGAUUAGAUACCCUGGUA